RNAcentral lists this ribosomal RNA (497 nucleotides) under uncultured bacterium. RNAcentral's name for it is "bacterial SSU rRNA". It matches the Rfam family "Bacterial small subunit ribosomal RNA", at positions 899 to 1397 of the family's 1533-position model. The record is from RNAcentral.
ACUCAAAUGAAUAGACGGGGACCCGCACAAGCAGUGGAGUAUGUGGUUUAAUUCGACGCAACGCGAAGAACCUUACCAGGACUUGACAUCCUGCUAACGAGGCAGAGAUGCGUUAGGUGCCCUUCGGGGAAAGCAGAGACAGGUGGUGCAUGGUUGUCGUCAGCUCGUGUCGUGAGAUGUUGGGUUAAGUCCCGCAACGAGCGCAACCCUCGCGGUUAGUUGCUACGUAAGAGCACUCUAGCCGGACUGCCGUUGACAAAACGGAGGAAGGUGGGGACGACGUCAAAUCAUCAUGCCCCUUACGUCCUGGGCUACACACGUACUACAAUGGCGGUAUUACAACGGGUAGCAACCACGCGAGUGGAAGCCAAUCCCUUAAAAGCCGCCUCAGUUCGGAUUGCAGGCUGAAACCCGCCUGCAUGAAGCCGGAAUUGCUAGUAAUCGCGGAUCAGCAUGCCGCGGUGAAUACGUUCCCGGGUCUUGCACACACCGCCCGU